RNAcentral lists this microRNA precursor (187 nucleotides) under Oryza glumipatula. RNAcentral's name for it is "MIR812 microRNA precursor family". It matches the Rfam family "MIR812 microRNA precursor family". Lineage: Eukaryota; Viridiplantae; Streptophyta; Magnoliopsida; Poales; Poaceae. The record is from Rfam by way of RNAcentral.
AAAAAGACAAACCCUAGGUUUCCGUGUUGACUGUCUGUCUUAUAUGAAAUUUUUUUAUAAUUAGUAUUUUUAUUGUUGUUAGAUGAUAAAACAUAAUUAAUACUUUAUGCGUGACUUAUUUUUUUAAUUUUUUUUUAUAUUUUUUUAAAUAAGACGGGCGAUCAAAUAUUGGACACGGAAACCCAGG